CUGAAGAGUUUGAUCAUGGCUCAGAUUGAACGCUGGCGGCAGGCCUAAGACAUGCAAGUCGAACGGUAACGACACUAGCUUGCUAGUGGUCGACGAGUGGCGGACGGGUGAGUAACGCGUAGGAAUCUACCUAGUAGUGGGGGAUAGCCAAGGGAAACUUUGGGUAAUACCGCAUACGAUCUAAGGAUGAAAGGGGGCCUCUCUUUGAAGCUCUCGCUAUUAGAUGAGCCUGCGUAAGAUUAGCUUGUUGGUGGGGUAAUGGCCCACCAAGGCGACGAUCUUUAGCUGGUCUGAGAGGAUGAUCAGCCACACCGGGACUGAGACACGGCCCGGACUCCUACGGGAGGCAGCAGUCGGGAAUAUUGCGCAAUGGGGGAAACCCUGACGCAGCCAUGCCGCGUGUGUGAAGAAGGCCUUCGGGUUGUAAAGCACUUUCAGUUGUGAGGAAAAGUUAGUAGUUAAUACCUGCUAGCCGUGACGUUAACAACAGAAGAAGCACCGGCUAACUCCGUGCCAGCAGCCGCGGUAAUACGGAGGGUGCAAGCGUUAAUCGGAAUUACUGGGCGUAAAGCGCGCGUAGGCGGACUGGAAAGUUGGGGGUGAAAUCCCAGGGCUCAACCCUGGAACUGCCUCCAAAACUAUCAGUCUAGAGUUCGAGAGAGGUGAGUGGAAUUCCGAGUGUAGAGGUGAAAUUCGUAGAUAUUCGGAGGAACACCAGUGGCGAAGGCGGCUCACUGGCUCGAUACUGACGCUGAGGUGCGAAAGUGUGGGGAGCAAACAGGAUUAGAUACCCUGGUAGUCCACACCGUAAACGAUGAAUGCCAGUCGUCAGAGGGCUUGCCCUUUGGUGACACACCUAACGGAUUAAGCAUUCCGCCUGGGGAGUACGGUCGCAAGAUUAAAACUCAAAGAAAUUGACGGGGGCCCGCACAAGCGGUGGAGCAUGUGGUUUAAUUCGA
Molecule: ribosomal RNA, 959 nt
Filed under: Ctenophora environmental sample
Lineage: Eukaryota; Metazoa; Ctenophora
Description: partial Bacterial small subunit ribosomal RNA
Rfam family: Bacterial small subunit ribosomal RNA
Source: RNAcentral